CUACAAAUCUCAGAAUCGAAAUGGGAAAAAUAUUAAUGGAUCUUACCGUAUUGCCAAAAGUUGCUAUAGGAUACAAUACCAUUUGGGUGAUAUUGAACCGAUUAAUGAAAUUAGAUCAUUUUCUUUCCAUAAGAGUAACCUUUUAAAUGGAAUAGUUCGCCCUGAAAAUUGUACAACAUGGUUUACCGAUCUCAAUAUGACUCGGUACAACAGUGGAUCUAUUCAGAUAAACAACAUAAGCUAUUUGAAUUAUUAAAUUGUUCUCCACUAAGUCUUGUAUUCUCCUGAAGUACAUAGACAUGGAGAUGAUUAGAAGGUCUAGAAUCUGCAAUAUAGGAAUUUGUAGAAUCAAUCGCUAAACAAGAAUCAACAACAUAAAACUUACAUACACUCUACCUUUUUGGUUAGUGCAUCUGAACAAUCUUUCUUCCAGUAUCCUUUGCAAUCGCAAUUGAAAUACUUGCCUCUUGGCAUUCAUAUGCUUUGGACUUUUUGUUGCUUCAUUGCUUCUCGUUAACUCCCUUAAUCUUCUUUCCAAAUUCAAUUUUUGGCUUGGAACCAGAGAAGCUACCAAUCACUGCAUGAGCAUCGCUACCUUUACCAUUUAGACCAAUUUUCACAUUCUACAACUA
Molecule: long non-coding RNA, 632 nt
Filed under: Olea europaea subsp. europaea
Lineage: Eukaryota; Viridiplantae; Streptophyta; Magnoliopsida; Lamiales; Oleaceae
Source: RNAcentral